UAGCAUAUCAAUAAGCGGAGGAAAAGAAACCAACAGGGAUUGCCCUAGUAACGGCGAGUGAAGCGGCAACAGCUCAAAUUUGAAAUCUGGCCCUCUUUGGGGGUCCGAGUUGUAAUUUGCAGAGGGUGCUUUGGCAUGGGCGGCGGUCUAAGUUCCCUGGAACUGGACAUCGCAGAGGGUGAGAAUCCCGUACGUGGUCGCCUGCCCUUGCCGUGUAAAGCCCCUUCGACGAGUCGAGUUGUUUGGGAAUGCAGCUCUAAAUGGGAGGUAAAUUUCUUCUAAAGCUAAAUACCGGCCAGAGACCGAUAGCGCACAAGUAGAGUGAUCGAAAGAUGAAAAGUACUUUGGAAAGAGAGUCAAACAGCACGUGAAAUUGUUAAUAGGGAAGCGCUUGCAGCCAGACUUGCCCGCAGUUGCUCACCCAGGCUUUGGCCCGGGGCACUCUUCUGCGGGCAGGCCAGCAUCAGUUUGGGCGGUCGGAUAAAGGCCUCUGUCACGUAUCUCCCUCCGGGGUGACCUUAUAGGGGAGGCGUAAUGCGACCAGCCCGGACUGAGGUCCGCGCAUCUGCUAGGAUGCUGGCGUAAUGGCUGUAAGCGGCCCGUCUUGAAACACGGACCAAGGAGUCUAACAUCUAUGCGAGUGUUUGGGUGUCAAGCCCGGGCGCGUAAUGAAAGUGAACGGAGGUGGGAACCCCUCGGGGCGCACCAUCGACCGAUCCUGAUGUCUUCGGAUGGAUUUGAGUAAGAGCAUAGCUGUUGGGACCCGAAAGAUGGUGAACUAUGCUUGGAUAGGGUGAAGCCAGAGGAAACUCUGGUGGAGGCUCGCAGCGGUUCUGACGUGCAAAUCGAUCGUCAAAUCUGGGCAUAGGGGCGAAAGACUAAUCGAACCAU
This 891-nucleotide ribosomal RNA is filed under the name Paramassariosphaeria anthostomoides. RNAcentral's name for it is "eukaryotic LSU rRNA". It matches the Rfam family "Eukaryotic large subunit ribosomal RNA", at positions 36 to 943 of the family's 3401-position model. Lineage: Eukaryota; Fungi; Ascomycota; Dothideomycetes; Pleosporales; Didymosphaeriaceae. The record is from RNAcentral.